RNAcentral lists this ribosomal RNA (305 nucleotides) under uncultured bacterium. Its description in RNAcentral is "bacterial SSU rRNA". It matches the Rfam family "Bacterial small subunit ribosomal RNA", at positions 334 to 630 of the family's 1533-position model. The record is from RNAcentral.
UUGUGCCUACGGGACGCAGCAGUAGGGAAUCUUCCGCAAUGGGCGAAAGCCUGACGGAGCAACGCCGCGUGAGUGAUGAAGGGUUUCGGCUCGUAAAACUCUGUUAUUAGGGAAGAACAAAUGUGUAAGUAACUGUGCACAUCUUGACGGUACCUAAUCAGAAAGCCACGGCUAACUACGUGCCAGCAGCCGCGGUAACACGUAGGUGGCAAGCGUUAUCCGGAAUUAUUGGGCGUAAAGCGCGCGUAGGCGGGUUCUUAAGUCUGAUGUGAAAGACCACGGCUCAACCGUGGAGGGUCAUUGGA